GCCUGGGUGGCUCAGUCGGUUGAGCAUCCGACUUCGGCUCAGGUCAUGAUCUCACGGUCCGUGAGUUCGAGCCCCGCACCGGGCU
Molecule: transfer RNA, 85 nt
Filed under: Felis catus (domestic cat)
Lineage: Eukaryota; Metazoa; Chordata; Mammalia; Carnivora; Felidae
Rfam family: tRNA
About the family: Transfer RNA (tRNA) molecules are approximately 80 nucleotides in length. Their secondary structure includes four short double-helical elements and three loops (D, anti-codon, and T loops).
Source: Rfam by way of RNAcentral